GGUUAAGCGACUAAGCCGGAGCGUACACGGAUGGUGCAACGCCCUGGGCAGUCAGAGAGCGUGCGAUGAAGGACGCUAAUCUGAUAAGCGAUAUGGUAAGGUCGAACCGUGUUAUAACCGAUUUCCGGCGAAUGGGGAAACAGUGUGUUUCGACACACUAUCAUUAACUGAAUCAAUAGGUUAAUGAACCGGGGGGAACUGAAACAUCUAAGUACCCCGAAAAGGGGAAAUAACCGAGAUUCCCCCAGUAGAGAGCGUAGGGCCCAGAGCCUGAACGAAUCAGUGUGUGGAAGCGAUACAGGGUGAAAGGGCGUGUCUGUUAGCGCCCCGACAGUACACAAAAAUGCACAUGCUGAGCUCGGGACACGAGUGAUGAGGGGGGGCGCGAAAAGAACCCCGAAAGGGGGCGUCUGAAUAUGUAUCCCUGACCAUCCUCCAAGGCUAAAUACCCUUGGGGGGGGACUGACCGAUAGUACCGAAGAGUG
Molecule: ribosomal RNA, 485 nt
Filed under: Escherichia coli
Lineage: Bacteria; Pseudomonadati; Pseudomonadota; Gammaproteobacteria; Enterobacterales; Enterobacteriaceae
Description: partial ribosomal RNA
Source: RNAcentral